This 583-nucleotide ribosomal RNA is filed under the name uncultured bacterium. Its description in RNAcentral is "bacterial SSU rRNA". It matches the Rfam family "Bacterial small subunit ribosomal RNA", at positions 108 to 707 of the family's 1533-position model. The record is from RNAcentral.
GAGUAACGCGUGAGCAACCUUUCCCAGACAGGGGAAUAACACACCGAAAGGUGUACUAAUACCGCAUAAGACCACGGGAUCACAUGGUUCUGAGGUAAAAGAUUUAUCGGUUUGGGGUGGGCUCGCGUCCGAUUAGGUAGUUGGUGAGGUAACGGCCCACCAAGCCGACGAUCGGUAGCCGACCUGAGAGGGUGAUCGGCCACAUUGGGACUGAGACACGGCCCAAACUCCUACGGGAGGCAGCAGUGGGGAAUAUUGGGCAAUGGAGGAAACUCUGACCCAGCAACGCCGCGUGGAGGAAGAAGGUUUUCGGAUCGUAAACUCCUGUCCUUGGAGACGAGUAGAAGACGGUAUCCAAGGAGGAAGCCCCGGCUAACUACGUGCCAGCAGCCGCGGUAAUACGUAGGGGGCAAGCGUUGUCCGGAAUAAUUGGGCGUAAAGGGCGCGUAGGCGGCUCGGUAAGUCUGGAGUGAAAGUCCUGCUUUUAAGGUGGGAAUUGCUUUGGAUACUGUCGGGCUUGAGUGCAGGAGAGGUUAGUGGAAUUCCCAGUGUAGCGGUGAAAUGCGUAGAGAUUGGGAGGAAC